AUGUGGCUAACGAGAAGAGAGAAGGGCAUGAAAGAAAUACGUCAAGGCUUGAGCGUGAAGGAAAGAAGUAAUGUAGGGGAGCAAACUAAAAGAAGAGGAGGAUCUUCUUGGGAAGAAAGAAGAAAGGAGGAGGGCCAAAGUAAAAAAAAGACAGAACAGAGGAGGGAUCAAAAAUCCCUAGCGCAGCCGAUCCCCAUCAGGCCUGGCAUCUCAUCUCUCUCCCUCACCCCUCCUUCUCCACCACCGGCCGCCGCCGCGGCCAGGCCGGCGUGGCGGUGCGCCUGCUGCUCCUCCACUCAGCCACGAGCACCAUCCGCCGCACCAUCCAUCCAUCCCAGCCGCGCCGCACCAUCCAUCCACCACUCCACCAGCGCCGCAUCCCCAACAUCCAACACCGCCGCGCCUGUGACACCCCCGAUUCAAUCGUACACUAAUCAUGCACGCAAACGUGUACGAUCAAGAUCAGGGACUCACGGGAAGAUAUCACAACGCAACUCUAAAACAUAA
Molecule: ribosomal RNA, 507 nt
Filed under: Triticum aestivum (bread wheat)
Lineage: Eukaryota; Viridiplantae; Streptophyta; Magnoliopsida; Poales; Poaceae
Description: partial small subunit ribosomal RNA
Source: RNAcentral